CAGCAGCCACGGUAAUACAGAGGGUGCGAGCGUUAAUCGGAUUUACUGGGCGUAAAGCGUGCGUAGGCGGCUUCUUAAGUCGGAUGUGAAAUCCCUGAGCUUAACUUAGGAAUUGCAUUCGAUACUGGGAAGCUAGAGUAUGGGAGAGGAUGGUAGAAUUCCAGGUGUAGCGGUGAAAUGCGUAGAGAUCUGGAGGAAUACCGAUGGCUAAGGCAGCCAUCUGGCCUAAUACUGACGCUGAGGUACGAAAGCAUGGGGAGCAAACAGGAUUAGAUACCCGUGUAGUCCCUGUCUCUUAUAC
This 301-nucleotide ribosomal RNA is filed under the name uncultured bacterium. Its description in RNAcentral is "partial 16S ribosomal RNA". It matches the Rfam family "Bacterial small subunit ribosomal RNA", at positions 509 to 807 of the family's 1533-position model. The record is from RNAcentral.